Long non-coding RNA from Manis javanica (Malayan pangolin), 1243 nucleotides. RefSeq lists it as uncharacterized. Lineage: Eukaryota; Metazoa; Chordata; Mammalia; Pholidota; Manidae. The record is from RefSeq and is a predicted model, not a curated record.
GAAGUUAACUUUCUCACUAGAGGCGAGGGAAGUGUAGUUUAGAGUAGUUUAACAAAGUUUCUGAAGACUGGGACUUUGGGCUGAAUAAGGGGAAUGGAUGCAAAACCCUGUGCCUUGCACAUCUCCCAAGGGCAACGAUGGGGAGGUGAUAGAACAGGAGAUCACAAUGGAGAAGGUGUGACCUGCCUGACCCCUCAGCAGUCUACCACCAGGUUGUCCUGGGCCAGCUCCACUCCGCUGUUUCCACCGGAUGCAAGGAGGCUUGGCAGUUACAGGCAUCACUCCAUGGGUGCAUCAUUCCAGAGUGAGAAGAGCCCAUACUCCAGACAAAGAAAUACAUCAGUAGAAAGCCCAGCUAGACCUCCAGAUCCUCUCCACCUCCGCAUCUGACGAUUACCCUCUUGACUAAUGAACACCUGCACGCCGUGGAUCCUGGCCCUCACCAGAAUGGAAUCUCUCAUCCUGGGCAUUAAACUCUCUGCUGCUGGCCCCUCUGACUAAACUGUUCCUCAAAAAGUUGUCCUUUCUAUUGUCUAUUGGGUAAUCCUUAAGUUGUUUUGCUGUGCUUACCUGUCUCUCCUAGCUGAAUUCAAGUCUCAGCCUACGUUUCCAAAGUACCUCUCUAUAAUGUUUAACUACAAAAUUUAUAAAGUGCAUGGUCCUUACCCAAGGGAGCUGCCCUCAGUGGCCCUACACCUUUAGCACCUGUCCUCUCACACUCAGAUAAACCAGCCUGAGUGUAAUGCUCAGCUGCAUAAAAAUAAAUUAGGACUGAAAAAAACUUUUUGUUAAGCACAGACUUAUUAAGAGUCUUAAGGACUCAUUGUAACCUAUAAUGCAUAAAAACAUAAUCAUUUGUAUUCUUCACAAACUACUCAGGUCUUUAAUGAAAAAGUCACAAGGAAAAAAUCCUAGCUCAAGGACAAGCCAUUAAAACCCUGUCAUAAACCAAAAAGACGAUGCCCCCUAAAAUGAAGUGUUUAAAGGGGCAUCAGAGGUGGGAGUGAUAAGGAAAAUAUCCAACACAGCCGUCCAGGUCAGCAAACUGCUUUUUUCCUCUGGUUAGCAAAGCCCUCCCAGCUUCCCCCUCCCCUCCUCCAGGCUCCUCUUUUGCCCUACGCAUGCCGAAAUGCCACGUAUCAAAAUAAUAUAAGUCGCUACCCUUGGUUGUGUGCAGGGCUCAGACCUUGGGAGAUUACUCCCCUCUGGGCCCGCUGGUGUGAAAUAAACCUCAAAACUCCAA